UACAGAGGGUGCGAGCGUUGUCCGGAAUCACUGGGCGUAAAGGGCGCGUAGGUGGCGCGACAAGUCAGUGGUGAAAGUUCGACGCUCAACGUCGAAUCGGCCACUGAUACUGUUGGGCUUGAGCACUGUAGGAGCUAAUGGAAUUCCGGGUGUAGCGGUGGAAUGCGUAGAGAUCCGGAAGAACACCGGUGGCGAAGGCGGUCUGCUGGGGUCGAACUGACGCUGAGGCGCGACAGCGUGGGGAGCAAACAGG
RNAcentral lists this ribosomal RNA (253 nucleotides) under uncultured bacterium. RNAcentral describes it as "partial 16S ribosomal RNA". It matches the Rfam family "Bacterial small subunit ribosomal RNA", at positions 524 to 776 of the family's 1533-position model. The record is from RNAcentral.